GAUGAACGCUGGCGGCGUGCCUAAUACAUGCAAGUCGAGCGAACGGACGAGAAGCUUGCUUCUCUGAUGUUAGCGGCGGACGGGUGAGUAACACGUGGAUAACCUACCUAUAAGACUGGGAUAACUUCGGGAAACCGGAGCUAAUACCGGAUAAUAUUUUGAACCGCAUGGUUCAAAAGUAAAAGACGGUCUUGCUGUCACUUAUAGAUGGAUCCGCGCUGCAUUAGCUAGUUGGUAAGGUAACGGCUUACCAAGGCAACGAUGCAUAGCCGACCUGAGAGGGUGAUCGGCCACACUGGAACUGAGACACGGUCCAGACUCCUACGGGAGGCAGCAGUAGGGAAUCUUCCGCAAUGGGCGAAAGCCUGACGGAGCAACGCCGCGUGAGUGAUGAAGGUCUUCGGAUCGUAAAACUCUGUUAUUAGGGAAGAACAUAUGUGUAAGUAACUGCGCACAUCUUGACGGUACCUAAUCAGAAAGCCACGGCUAACUACGUG
Molecule: ribosomal RNA, 497 nt
Filed under: uncultured bacterium
Lineage: Bacteria
Description: partial 16S ribosomal RNA
Rfam family: Bacterial small subunit ribosomal RNA
Source: RNAcentral